This 253-nucleotide ribosomal RNA is filed under the name uncultured bacterium. RNAcentral describes it as "partial 16S ribosomal RNA". It matches the Rfam family "Bacterial small subunit ribosomal RNA", at positions 524 to 776 of the family's 1533-position model. The record is from RNAcentral.
UACAGGGGGCUCGAGCGUUAAUCGGAAUCACUGGGCUUAAAGGGCGCGUAGGCGGCCUGUUAAGUCGAACGUGAAAUCCCCGGGCUCAACCCGGGAACUGCGUCCGAUACUGGCAGGCUUGAAUCCGGGAGAGGGAUGCGGAAUUCCAGGUGUAGCGGUGAAAUGCGUAGAGAUGUGGAGGAACACCGAUGGCGAAGGCAGCCCCCUGGGUCAAGAUUGACGCUCAUGCACGAAAGCGUGGGGAGCAAACAGG